RNAcentral lists this small nucleolar RNA (107 nucleotides) under Olea europaea subsp. europaea. RNAcentral describes it as "Plant small nucleolar RNA R71". It matches the Rfam family "Plant small nucleolar RNA R71". From Rfam's summary of the family: R71 is a member of the C/D box family of snoRNAs containing the C (UGAUGA) and D (CUGA) box motifs. Multiple nearly identical copies of this snoRNA have been identified in Arabidopsis, and it is thought to function as a 2'-O-ribose methylation guide for 18S ribosomal RNA. The record is from Rfam by way of RNAcentral. Lineage: Eukaryota; Viridiplantae; Streptophyta; Magnoliopsida; Lamiales; Oleaceae.
AUUCCAUGAUUUGGACAUUUUCGAAGCAUAUAUUUGAAGCUCUCCCAAGCUUCAUGAAAGCUCUCUAAUUCAUAUUGUUGGAAGGUGGUUAUGUCAUGCUUGAGUUU